UACAGAGGUCUCGAGCGUUGUUCGGAUUCAUUGGGCGUAAAGGGCGCGUAGGCGGCGGGGUAAGUCUGGUGUGAAAUCUCGGAGCUCAACUCCGAAAUUGCACUGGAUACUGCUCUGCUAGAGGGCUGGAGAGGAGAUCGGAAUUUACGGUGUAGCGGUGAAAUGCGUAGAUAUCGUAAGGAAGACCAGUGGCGAAGGCGGGUCUCUGGACAGUUCCUGACGCUGAGGCACGAAGGUCAGGGGAGCAAACGGG
RNAcentral lists this ribosomal RNA (253 nucleotides) under uncultured bacterium. RNAcentral's name for it is "partial 16S ribosomal RNA". It matches the Rfam family "Bacterial small subunit ribosomal RNA", at positions 524 to 776 of the family's 1533-position model. The record is from RNAcentral.